AUGUAUGUUACAUCAGAACUUUUGACUGAGUAGACCGAUUUCGACAAAUUUUGUUUUAAUCGAAAGGUUUUGUGUGCCAAUUGGUCCCAUUUAAAUUUAUUUGAGAUCUAACAACUACUUUUCGAGUUAUAUCUAAUAAUGCGUUUUUACUUGACGCUUUUUUCGUCGAUCUACGUUGUAUUAUACCACAUAACUUUCUACUGGAUGUACCGAUUUUGAUAAUUCUUUUUUUGUUGGAAAGGGGAUAUCCUUAGUUUGAUACCAUGAUAAGGAAACUAGAAUCUGAUGAUGGGAUCCUAGACAAAUCGAGGGAAACUCUCGAAAAUC
This 327-nucleotide unclassified non-coding RNA is filed under the name Melitaea cinxia (Glanville fritillary). Its description in RNAcentral is "misc RNA ENSMCXG00005015868.1". Lineage: Eukaryota; Metazoa; Arthropoda; Insecta; Lepidoptera; Nymphalidae. The record is from RNAcentral.